RNAcentral lists this ribosomal RNA (468 nucleotides) under uncultured bacterium. RNAcentral describes it as "partial 16S ribosomal RNA". It matches the Rfam family "Bacterial small subunit ribosomal RNA", at positions 28 to 507 of the family's 1533-position model. The record is from RNAcentral.
GACGAACGCUGGCGGCGUGCUUAACACAUGCAAGUCGAACGGAAAGGCCCUGCUUUUGUGGGGUGCUCGAGUGGCGAACGGGUGAGUAACACGUGAGUAACCUGCCCUUGCCUUUGGGAUAACUUCAGGAAACUGGGGCUAAUACCGGAUAGGAGCUCCUGCUGCAUGGUGGGGGUUGGAAAGUUUCGGCGGUUGGGGAUGGACUCGCGGCGUAUCAGCUUGUUGGUGGGGUAGUGGCUUACCAAGGCUUUGACGGGUAGCCGGCCUGAGAGGGUGACCGGCCACAUUGGGACUGAGAUACGGCCCAGACUCCUACGGGAGGCAGCAGUGGGGAAUAUUGCACAAUGGGCGGAAGCCUGAUGCAGCAACGCCGCGUGCGGGAUGACGGCCUUCGGGUUGUAAACCGCUUUCGCCUGUGACGAAGCGUGAGUGACGGUAAUGGGUAAAGAAGCAACGGCUAACUACGUG